RNAcentral lists this ribosomal RNA (281 nucleotides) under uncultured Dialister sp. RNAcentral describes it as "partial 16S ribosomal RNA". It matches the Rfam family "Bacterial small subunit ribosomal RNA", at positions 74 to 339 of the family's 1533-position model. Lineage: Bacteria; Bacillati; Bacillota; Negativicutes; Veillonellales; Veillonellaceae. The record is from RNAcentral.
CUUGCUCUUUCCGGAAUUGAGUGGCAAACGGGUGAGUAACACGUAAACAACCUGCCUUCAGGAUGGGGACAACAGACGGAAACGACUGCUAAUACCGAAUAAGUUCCAAGAGCCGCAUGGCCCAUGGAAGAAAAGGUGGCCUCUACCUGUAAGCUAUCGCCUGAAGAGGGGUUUGCGUCUGAUUAGCUGGUUGGAGGGGUAACGGCUCACCAAGGCGACGAUCGGUAGCUGGUCUGAGAGGACGACCGGCCACAUUGGGACUGAGACACGGCCCAGACUCC